UGGACUCAGGGUGGAGCCACCCUGGACUCAUGUAAGGGCCAGCCACUGAAGGGAGAGCAUCUCUUGGAUGUAGGCUGCUUCCUAUGUGGGGCUGUUGCAUAGUCAGAGAGCUUCUUCACUGUUUGGUAUUUUGAGGCUUGAUUUGCAUAAGCAACAAGAUUUGCUUCAGUUCUAAGAAGUGAAGAAGCACUUCAGGCCCUACCUUGUGCUCUUCAUCAAGGAAUGUUGCCUUUAUUUAAGUUGUGUUAAGUAACAAAAGAAGCAUUUGGGAAAUGCCUUAGAUGAAGAUAUUAAGAUGCCAGCAUUUCACAGCUGAACAUCAUUGGUGACAGUUUCUGAGGACCUGUGACUUCCAUUGGUUUUGUGGGGUGAUGAAGAUCCUGAAUCUGCAAAAUUAAUGCACAUAAGAAGCUCAUAAGGCAUGAAAUGUUAAUUAAUUGAUUUGAAGAAAUGAUGCAGAAUUACAUCAGUUGUAGUAAGCAGCUUGCCUUGGAAGUCUCUGAAGUCCCUGUCUGUUUCAUCCAAGACUUCAGACUGGAAAGGAUGGUACUUGCGAAGAGUUACUUUGGGAUCUGAGUAUCUGGAAGUUUCUGGUAGCUUAUCUGUUGGGCACUGCCAAGUUGAAUUAUCUGAAAGGGGAGGAUGGGAAGAAGGAAAGACUGUUUUCAAAGAUACUGCCCUGGGUGGAGCUGACCAAUCUUCCGGAGUGCUGAUUUAGGGUUUAGUCACAGAGUAUAAUAUUAUUUUACUUUACACACGAUCAACAGGAAAAGCAUUUUAAAGACAUCUUUACCUAGGGUUUAUUAAAUCCCUAUAUGCCUGCACAGUGGGCUGCGUGCUCUGUCAUUGCCGGAAGGUUCUUUUGAUUAGAGUUGUUUCUAGUUCAACAGUUUAACAGCUUUCCAAGACCUAUGAAUUACUUUUUUUAAAGAUAUCCAGGUGUACAUUCUAAUGUUGUUUUCAUUCUCAUUUGGAAAGACAAAUACUUAUUCUUUUGAAAAAUCAGGAAUAUUACUAGGUAAAUGAAAAUAUAUCAGUAAGAAUUGAAUCUGUACCAUAAUUGAGCGCAUCCUCUCAUUUUCAACAAUUAUUUUCCAAUAUUUUUAAUUUGGUUGUUAUUUCAUUGUAAACUUGGAAUAUCAUAAUUAUUUUUAAUGGUAGUAUUCACAUAUAAUAACUAGAGAAGAAUUUGGAUUAAAAUUUUGAAGAGCAAAUCUUAGUAGUACCUGUACAGUAUAUUAACUGCUAAUAAAAGUAGGUGUUACUAAAAGGCCCUUUGUAAAGAAAGUUUCAUCCCAGUACUUUUUCAGUAUUAGUGUGUAAUGAAAUUAUUUCUAUCGGUUCAGUGUGCUAAAUGGAAUUGAUUAUCACUCUGCUCAUGUUAACACACAAAGCAUAAUAUAGAUAGGAUUUUGAAAGCUAAGUAAAUGCAACAUUAAAAAUGGGAUUAUUUUUCAAAAACUGAAAUUAGAACAUUUAAGGUUCAUAAUAAAAGCUUGAUUUUGGGGCAUCCUGUAUGAAAGUAUUUAGUAGAAUGGAGCUGCACUUUGUCAAAUAAGUACUCCAAACAGUAUUGUUCCAACACCUGCAUAUUGUAUAUGUGAAGUUUCCUCAGCUAUUCUUUGUUCUGAAUGCAGUUUAAGAUCAAUGGAAAUAGAUGAGAUCUAAUACCAUGACUUGGUUGUCUUUCCAUGGAAUUUCAUAGCAUGCAGACUUUUGCAAAAAAUUUGCAUUAGCUCUGACCUUUGCAGUUCUAGCAUGAAACCGGUUGCAGUUUGUUCCCUGUUACUCAUUGUUUCAGUCAGAUAACCAUUAUGAAAAGGAGAGACCUUUGAACUGUAAUAGAAUAAUCACUUCUCCUAAGUGCAGGAAGAGUAACUUCAGUCAGUCCUUUAUGCCCAUGCUUGACCAGCAGUACUUCAAGGACACUUAGACUUCGUUAUAAAGAAUUUCAAGAGCUAGUAGGAGUGAGAGAGGCUUGUUCAUGCUCAACAGCAUCCUGUUUGUUUUUCUGCAUUCAGGCCAAAAUAUAACUGAAUGUUCUUUACAGCUUGCACAUUCUUUGGAUGAUUUCAUAUCACCUCCCAGAUUCUGUCCUGGUUUGCUUUGUUGCCAUUUUUAAUUUAUAUAUAUGUAUGUAUGUAUACAUACACGUAGUUUUUUUCUAAUACACUGGAUUAUACAGUUCAGGACCUUCCACUUCUUCCAAGAGGAUUUUCCCUCUUCUCUUGCCAUGCCUACAUCUUGUCCAGACAUCUGUUUCUGAUUUCAGACCUCUUCAUUCUCUUGUUUAUUGAACACAUUCUAUUCAGGUGCUACCAGUACUACAUGACUCAAUCAUUUCUUAAUCAAACUGUGUUUCUGUGUUCCUGAUAUUACCAAUGCAUAUAUUACCCUCUAUCUUUUCUACAUCUCUUAUUUGUUGCAUUUUUUUCUCCUUCUGCUUACUGAACUCUUGUGGUUCUUACUACCAGACUCAAUCUAUUUGGCACCCUGGGCUCUUUCAGAACUGUUUUAACACAGACGGUUUUUGCAAAAUAUAUGGAUAUCAAACUUUAAGUUCUGAUUGGAAGUCUGGUAAUGUUCACAAUAUGCUGAUAAUUUCCCCUCCCCUUGAUCUCAUCACUAGUCUCAUCAAAUGGUAAACAUUGCUGGAAAAUUCCUUAGCUUUUAAAUGCUGUUAUAAUUAUAUGUAAAAUGAAAUUGAGGCGGAAAAUAAUGAUCAUAAUUUUAUAAAAUAAACUAUACUACAUAUGAAUAAAACAUGAUGCUAACAUCCUGCACCUUGACUUCGGUGAACUUAACCUUUUUAUGUAGGAAUCAAUGUUCUGUCUUCAGGCAUAGGAAAUUAAUUGUAAAAAUCUACAGUACAGUCUUUGUAGGAAAUUCUAAAUAAUUCACUGUUUUCAAACUACAGGAGGGACUUAGGAUACUAUUAUCUUCAUUGAAAUUUCACUGGAGUGCUUUUUCUAACUAACUUUAGAGGGUCACAGAACUUAAGUAUGAACUUGCUGAAAAUUGCAACAGUUUGGAUUUUGGAAGUGCAGUACAGAGGAUUGGCCUAGCCUCAUGAGAUAGGUGCGUUUUGAGAACCCAGCACAAUAAGCGUCUGUAGUAGAAAGAAGGAAUUUGGUAAGAUAUUUGGAUUUGCUGAUUGGGUCACAGAGGAAAGUAACAGUGUUCUGUCAAGCCUUUAUAUUUAAUAUUUUUGUGUGUAUGUCAAAGCAGAAGUCUAGUUUGACCCUUAAUCUACCUGUGAAUUAUUAAAUACAUUCAGAAGCUGCGUACGAUUGCAUACAUACUUUGGUAAUGUAUAUUUAUAUGGAACUGUCAUCUCCUGAAUGAUAAACUGUUACUUAGGUGUCUACUGUUCUUUAAAUUCUAUGUAUUUAUGUAAGCUAUAUUAAGAAAAUUGCUAUCUGAAAUAUCUAUGUAGAGCACCUGGAAUGAGUGCAUAAAUUACUUAAUGUGCUUUAACAUCUGACUUUAAAUAGUCUCCUCUCUAGCAAUCUGUACAUCACAGGUUUAAUCCGGACGGAAGAUGCAAAACUGACAAGAUAAUGCAUUUAACAUAAGUUUAGCAAAUCUGCGUUAGGGGUCUGUUAAAAACCCUCUGAAAUGCUGAUCGCCUGUUCCUUGCAAGGAUACCAGAUGACCAAAUGUCAGUGAUGCCAAAAAACAACAUUCACUGUAGUACCUUAGUGUUUCUGUGACUACUAUGUUACUAGUAUCAGUGGUAACUAAUGUCUUGACUACUUGGUUAUGUAGGACUAUCUUUGAGUAAAUUGAGUUCUUAUGAAUUAUUCAUGUAAGUAAUUUAUGUUCAGGAUACCAUUUAUCUUAAUACCAUUCUAAAGACUGAACUCAAUUGUAUUUACUACAGUGUAGGACAAUUAUGGUAAUAUUUACUGUAUAGAAAUAUAUGUAGUAAAUAUAUCUUAAAUUAGUUUGAAAUAUGAGAAUGAGAGCUAGAACAAAAUUGAACCAAAAUGCUUUAAAUUAAACAGUUUUACUGGCAGGGGACACUUCUAUAGUCCAUUAUCUUGUUUUAAUUGCAGACUCAGCUAAACAUAUCUACAAUACUGAAAGCUGGCAUCAAGAUUCCAGUACACAUGUUCAGUUUUUGGCUUUUUGACUGAAUCUCUUAUUUUUGUAACAGCAGCAGCUCUAGCACACUCUCCUGCACCCAUGCCAGACAUGUCAUUUCUACAGAUAUAAGAAGUCAUCCAAAUUCAGAAUUCAGAAGUACCAUGUGAAUUACUGUAAUUGUUUUCAAUGUUCAAAAUGACACCUUGUACAUAUAC
Molecule: long non-coding RNA, 4304 nt
Organism: Numida meleagris (helmeted guineafowl)
Lineage: Eukaryota; Metazoa; Chordata; Aves; Galliformes; Numididae
Exons: 6
Source: RefSeq, a predicted model, not a curated record